Molecule: ribosomal RNA, 485 nt
Filed under: uncultured bacterium
Lineage: Bacteria
Description: partial 16S ribosomal RNA
Rfam family: Bacterial small subunit ribosomal RNA
Source: RNAcentral
GACGAACGCUGGCGGCGUGCUUAACACAUGCAAGUCGAACGGUGAAAGCGGAGCUUGCUCCGCUGGAUCAGUGGCGAACGGGUGAGCAACACGUGGGCAACCUGCCCCUCACUUCGGGAUAACUCCGGGAAACCGGGGCUAAUACCGGAUAUGACCUCCUUGGGCAUCCUUGGAGGUGGAAAGUUUUUCGGUGAGGGAUGGGCCCGCGGCCUAUCAGCUUGUUGGUGAGGUAGUGGCUCACCAAGGCGACGACGGGUAGCAGGCCUGAGAGGGCGACCGGCCACACUGGGACUGAGACACGGCCCAGACUCCUACGGGAGGCAGCAGUGGGGAAUAUUGCGCAAUGGGCGAAAGCCUGACGCAGCAACGCCGCGUGGGGGAUGACGGCCUUCGGGUUGUAAACCGCUUUCAGCAGGGAAGAAGCCGCAAGGUGACGGUACCUGCAGAAGAAGCACCGGCUAACUACGUGCCAGCCGCCGCCGUAA